Long non-coding RNA from Xenopus tropicalis (tropical clawed frog), 963 nucleotides. RefSeq lists it as uncharacterized. The transcript has 3 exons. The record is from RefSeq and is a predicted model, not a curated record. Lineage: Eukaryota; Metazoa; Chordata; Amphibia; Anura; Pipidae.
UUCAUUUCUCCUACCUGUCUUUUAGAUUCUUUUCUCUAACUGCCAGUUUUCUACCUUAACGACUGCUGACUCUUGUAUCCCUAUCAGUGCAAUCAACCGCCGGUUACGUGCACACUGAGCUCUGCAUCAACGACCCCCACCCUUCUCUGUGUUACCUGCUCACCUCUCCCAAUUGCAACCAACUGCCAGUUACGUGCACACUGAACUCUGCAUCAACGACCCCCACCCUUCUCUGUGUUACCUGCUCGCCCAUCCCAAUACAUUGUGAUACCAGAGAUUAUUGAGGGAAACCUACGAAAUGGCCAAAGGGAAGAAAUCCACGGUGCUGAGAACCUCGUUCCGCAGAAGGAACAACUUUGUAUUCAGAACCAACUACUUCCAGACUCACCAAUCAUUGGAUUCCAUCGGAGUGGAUCUCGCCCAGAACAUGUCCCAAGUGUUCAUGUUGGUGUCGGAGGUGGUGCACUUUGUUGGCAGCGCCGCCAAUAGGGUUUUGCAGUCUCUGGUUUUCGUGGUUAAUAAUCUGUGCAAAGCUGCUGCGGUGCUGGUGCAUAUUGUGCUGACACUCUGCAAUGUGCUCUGGCUCCUGGGCCAACCCUUAGUCAUACUGUUCAAACUUGCUGUGGCCAAGUCAGAAGCCUCGGCUAGUAAUAAUACACGCAAAAUAACACCCACAAAAAACAUUAAUGAUGAAAAGCAUCCCCUCCCCUCCAUCACUAAAGGCCACACACUGACCAACCCUAUAGAGCAUCGCAAUGUUUGGCCCCUGGGCCAGCCAAAUGGAUUCCACAAUGUCUGGCAAAACACAGGAUGGCUGAAUGGUACUCCCAUUAGUGCUAAAAUGAUGUAAAGGGUUGCUGCUUUAAAAUACAAAAAAUCCCACCUGAUCUCUGUUAAUCUGUCUCCCUGUUCUCUGUUCCUGCAUUUGGAGUUGGGAGCAAUAAGCACAGUUUCCCAGCACUG